AUUGAACGCUGGCGGCAGGCCUAACACAUGCGAGUCGAACGGUAACAGGAAGAAGCUUGCUUCUUUGCUGACGAGUGGCGGACGGGUGAGUAAUGUCUGGGAAACUGCCUGAUGGAGGGGGAUAACUACUGGAAACGGUAGCUAAUACCGCAUAACGUCGCAAGACCAAAGAGGGGGACCUCCGGGCCUCUUGCCAUCGGAUGUGCCCAGAUGGGAUUAGCUAGUAGGUGGGGUAACGGCUCACCUAGGCGACGAUCCCUAGCUGGUCUGAGAGGAUGACCAGCCACACUGGAACUGAGACACGGUCCAGACUCCUACGGGAGGCAGCAGUGGGGAAUAUUGCACAAUGGGCGCAAGCCUGAUGCAGCCAUGCCGCGUGUAUGAAGAAGGCCUUCGGGUUGUAAAGUACUUUCAGCGGGGAGGAAGGGAGUAAAGUUAAUACCUUUGCUCAUUGACGUUACCCGCAAAAGAAGCACCGGCUAACUCCGUG
This 490-nucleotide ribosomal RNA is filed under the name uncultured bacterium. Its description in RNAcentral is "partial 16S ribosomal RNA". It matches the Rfam family "Bacterial small subunit ribosomal RNA", at positions 30 to 507 of the family's 1533-position model. The record is from RNAcentral.